CAAGCCGUUGAUCUUUAGUUGGUCUGAGAGGAUGAUCAACCACACUGGAACUGAGACAAGGUCCAGGCUAAAUAUAUUAGCCAGCAGUGAGGAAUAUUGGACAAUGAACGAAAGUUUGAUCCAGCAAUACUAUGUGAAUGAUGACGGCUAUUUUGGUUGUAAAGUUCUUUCAUUAAAAAUGAUAAUGACAUUAUUUAAAGAAGUUUAGUCCCGGCUAAUCUCGUGCCAGCAGCCGCGGUAAUACGGGAGGGGCAAGCGUCAUCUGGAAUAACUGGGCGUAAAGGGUUCGUAGACUGUAUUACAAGUUAUUUGUUAAAAUCUAAAGCUUAACUU
This 333-nucleotide ribosomal RNA is filed under the name uncultured Thalassiosira. RNAcentral describes it as "bacterial SSU rRNA". It matches the Rfam family "Bacterial small subunit ribosomal RNA", at positions 269 to 615 of the family's 1533-position model. Lineage: Eukaryota; Bacillariophyta; Thalassiosirophyceae; Thalassiosirales; Thalassiosiraceae. The record is from RNAcentral.